UCAUUUCUACUUUUACUUGAAAAAAGUUUUUUUUUUUUUUUUUAAAUCUUUGACCAAGAACAGUGUAAUUUAUUUAUUUAUCAUUGAAAGCAACAGCAUGUAAUUGAAGUAGAAAAUCCACAGUGCAUUACCAAUUUAUGCGCGUAAAAAUAUAGGAGGAAUUAACCACAUGCCACACAGUUUCCAAAAGUGCCCAUCAUCAAAACAUACAAUUUUGGCGAUGUGGCCAGACCUGAUUGGGCGUCCUGAAAAGUGCCGAAACGCGAAACCACAGUCAACAAAAAUCUGCCCACUAGAUCCCAAAUCGGCGAGUCUGGCAGCACUACUAGACCACGUUGCAGCAGCAUCACACGCGCACGUGCAUCCACUGUUAUGCUGACCUGAGCCCAAACUCCGAUGGCACACCCGUAAUUAACCGAUAUCCCAAGGGCCAUUCCAACCCCCCACCACACCAGACGCGCAAAGUAAACUUAAUUUCCUGAGCGUGGGCCGCUGUUUCAGGUUACAAUUACCUGUGGCGUUAGCCCAGAAGAGCCGGUGGCAGCCCACGCGUCGCAACGUAACUGGUCUGUGGCGGGUAUAAAUAAUACCCACCCCGGCUGUUGUCAUAGAUUUCAUAGGGUUAGAGUAUAAGAGCCAUCUAUAAAAAUAAAAAAUAAAAACAACCUCAAAACAGACGUAUUUUGCUUUGCUUUUGCUCUGAGAGGGAGGCUUGUGUUGUGGGCGUUGAUUCAGUUACUGGCGGUCUCUAAUUCGCUUGGUGCAGGUCGGGAACUGCUUCGCGUUUAGGGCCUUUUUUUCGUACAAGACCUAUGAGCCAGGUGGCGCCAUGGUAUUGGUCGGUGGGUGCGAAAUGGGUCCCGCCUUGCAUCAACUGAAUCGGAGACCGCGGUGAAGAGAGGGGUUGGGUUGUUUGGUGGUUCAUGGAUCUCGCGUUUUUUGCUUUUGCUCGUUUCUCAGAUCUCAUCUCAGCUAAUCCCAUGAAAUCAGUCGAUCCCCGAAAAUCAGCAUCGAUGGACUCUUCAUCACAAGAUCAGCGGCAUAUCCUCUAAGAAUUGAUUUGUAAUUUAUUCUGAAAUAUAUGAGAUUAAUGCUAGACUUGGGAAAGUCCCAAAAUCAUCUUGGUCAGUUCAAUUGCUCUAUACUUCUCUCAUUUUUCGUCUUCCUUCUCGAGUUUGUUUUCUUUCAUCAAUCGCUUGUGCUAAAAAAAAAAAAUGGUUUGUAAUCAUCUUUCUUACAUUUUUAGAGAACCUCUAUGUAAUCUGCUGUGAUUCUUAUUAUUCAAUAUUUCCUUUUUACAAG
This is a long non-coding RNA of Prunus persica (peach), 1302 nucleotides long. RefSeq lists it as uncharacterized. NCBI's taxonomy places the organism in Eukaryota, Viridiplantae, Streptophyta, Magnoliopsida, Rosales, Rosaceae. The transcript is spliced from 2 exons. The record is from RefSeq and is a predicted model, not a curated record.